Molecule: ribosomal RNA, 404 nt
Filed under: Verrucomicrobiota bacterium
Lineage: Bacteria; Pseudomonadati; Verrucomicrobiota
Description: Verrucomicrobia bacterium partial 16S ribosomal RNA
Rfam family: Bacterial small subunit ribosomal RNA
Source: RNAcentral
UGGGGAAUAUUGCACAAUGGGCGCAAGCCUGAUGCAGCAACGCCGCGUGAACGAUGAAGGUCUUCGGAUCGUAAAGUUCUGUUGCAUGGGUAGAUAAUGACGGUACCCUGUGAGGAAGCCCCGGCUAACCUCGUGCCAGCAGCCGCGGUAAUACGUAUGUUGCGAGCGUUAUCCGGAAUUAUCGGGCUUAAAGAGCAUCUAGGCGGUAAGACAAGUUGAAGGUGAAAACCUGUGGCUCAACCAUAGGCUUGCCUACAAAACUGUUGAACUAGAGUACUGGAAAGGUGGGUGGAACUACACGAGUAGAGGUGAAAUUCUUAAAUAUGUGUAGGAAUGCCGAUGAUGAACAUAACUCACUGGACAGAAACUGACGCUGAAGUGCGUAAGCUAGGGAACCAAACAGG